UACGGAGGAUGCGAGCGUUAUCCGGAUUUAUUGGGUUUAAAGGGUGCGUAGGCGGCUUUUUAAGUCAGCGGUGAAAUUUUGCAGCUUAACUGUAACAGUGCCGUUGAUACUGGGGAGCUAGGAUUUGGUUGCUGUGGGUGGAAUGUGUGGUGUAGCGGUGAAAUGCAUAGAUAUUGCACGGAACACCAAUUGCGAAGGCAGCUUACUGGACCAUUACUGACGCUCAGGCACGAAAGCGUGGGGAUCAAAUAGGAUUAGAUACCCCGGUA
This 269-nucleotide ribosomal RNA is filed under the name uncultured prokaryote. RNAcentral's name for it is "partial 16S ribosomal RNA". It matches the Rfam family "Bacterial small subunit ribosomal RNA", at positions 524 to 792 of the family's 1533-position model. The record is from RNAcentral.